ACCGGGCGGGUGCUAUACAUGCAGUUGAGCGCUGAAGGUUGGUACUUGUACCGACUGGAUGAGCAGCGAACGGGUGAGUAACGCGUGGGGAAUCUGCCUUUGAGCGGGGGACAACAUUUGGAAACGAAUGCUAAUACCGCAUAAAAACUUUAAACACAAGUUUUAAGUUUGAAAGAUGCAAUUGCAUCACUCAAAGAUGAUCCCGCGUUGUAUUAGCUAGUUGGUGAGGUAAAGGCUCACCAAGGCGAUGAUACAUAGCCGACCUGAGAGGGUGAUCGGCCACAUUGGGACUGAGACACGGCCCAAACUCCUACGGGAGGCAGCAGUAGGGAAUCUUCGGCAAUGGACGAAAGUCUGACCGAGCAACGCCGCGUGAGUGAAGAAGGUUUUCGGAUCGUAAAACUCUGUUGGUAGAGAAGAACGUUGGUGAGAGUGGAAAGCUCAUCAAGUGACGGUAACUACCCAGAAAGGGACGGCUAACUACGUGCCAGCAGCCGCGGUAAUACGUAGGUCCCGAGCGUUGUCCGGAUUUAUUGGGCGUAAAGCGAGCGCAGGUGGUUUAUUAAGUCUGGUGUAAAAGGCAGUGGCUCAACCAUUGUAUGCAUUGGAAACUGGUAGACUUGAGUGCAGGAGAGGAGAGUGGAAUUCCAUGUGUAGCGGUGAAAUGCGUAGAUAUAUGGAGGAACACCGGUGGCGAAAGCGGCUCUCUGGCCUGUAACUGACACUGAGGCUCGAAAGCGUGGGGAGCAAACAGGAUUAGAUACCCUGGUAGUCCACGCCGUAAACGAUGAGUGCUAGAUGUAGGGAGCUAUAAGUUCUCUGUAUCGCAGCUAACGCAAUAAGCACUCCGCCUGGGGAGUACGACCGCAAGGUUGAAACUCAAAGGAAUUGACGGGGGCCCGCACAAGCGGUGGAGCAUGUGGUUUAAUUCGAAGCAACGCGAAGAACCUUACCAGGUCUUGACAUACUCGUGCUAUUCCUAGAGAUAGGAAGUUCCUUCGGGACACGGGAUACAGGUGGUGCAUGGUUGUCGUCAGCUCGUGUCGUGAGAUGUUGGGUUAAGUCCCGCAACAAGCGCAACCCCUAUUGGUAGUUGCCAUCAUUAAA
Molecule: ribosomal RNA, 1107 nt
Filed under: Lactococcus lactis
Lineage: Bacteria; Bacillati; Bacillota; Bacilli; Lactobacillales; Streptococcaceae
Description: bacterial SSU rRNA
Rfam family: Bacterial small subunit ribosomal RNA
Source: RNAcentral